RNAcentral lists this non-coding RNA (30 nucleotides) under Rattus norvegicus (Norway rat). The record is from RNAcentral. Lineage: Eukaryota; Metazoa; Chordata; Mammalia; Rodentia; Muridae.
UAGCCUUUCUAGGCAAUAAUCCAGGCUGCC